This is a long non-coding RNA of Platichthys flesus (European flounder), 1143 nucleotides long. RefSeq lists it as uncharacterized. The record is from RefSeq and is a predicted model, not a curated record. The transcript is spliced from 2 exons. Lineage: Eukaryota; Metazoa; Chordata; Actinopteri; Pleuronectiformes; Pleuronectidae.
UGUUGGGUGAGACUCCUCAGUGAGGAACAUCAAACAGUGGGUUGUAAAUACUUGGGGCCUGCUAGACCAAGCUGAAACCAGUUUGGCCAGUUUUCAGUCUUAAUUCACACUUUCCUCAGACAGCCUGGAGCCUCGCCUCAGUGGGGGAGAAUCUCGGAUGUCCGUCAGGGACCCCCACUGGGAUCCUGAAACGCCCACUGAGGUCGACUCCCAGCCCACUAAGGUCGGAAUCCUGACAUUCUCAUUGGCUGAGUGCCAACUGAACCCUAUGACCACUUCCGGGGGAAGCAGGAAGUCCUCAGGUGGUAUAAGAGUGCUGAGGUCCCAGAACUUUCAGGUUUUCACUCUCUUUUUCACCCCAGCACAGAUGUCCCCACCAGGCCCUUACAGGUCUGACCAGAGGUUCCCGAUGCUUAAGGAGGCAACUAACUCUUAACUCUUCCCUUUCACUCCACUGCUCAAGUUGUAUUCGACCUCCAGAGGCCGAACUACACGACUCAGCAAGCUAAUGGAGGCGAUAAGACGUUUAUUUGAAUUCAUUUCAUUAUUUUUCUUUUAUCUCAGUCGACGUUUUUAUUUUCAAAAGGACUUUUGCUGUUUUAACUUGAAAAGACCAAACAGGAAAUUGCACGCGGAACAAUCUCAGACUGUUUCACUUUCCCCACGGACUUUACUUUCUUUUCCCAACGAUCUACAAACGGCUUCCACAGCCGUCCCCUGCAGAAGCGCGAGAUUCAUUCCGCUGAGGAGCACAAGCUCCACAUCCCUGAAGAAGAAGGACGACGUUCAUCCCGUCGUGGCAGCACGAGAAAAUCCGCUGCUUGUCCGGUCCAGCGGCCGAGCACCGCUUGAGAGACCACGUGAUUCACUGGCCCGACGCGCACGCACACCGCGAGGGUGGUACAAUGAAGAACUGCAGCACCUGAUGUCCUCAGCAGCAACAUGGUGGAGAUCUGCAGCGUCAUGCUGGUCAACACGUGGACGACUGAAUCGUCAUCUACACAACACUUCUAAAUUCCUCCCUUAACUAAAUAUGACCUGCAGCUGUUUAGUGGUGGUGGUCAUUGCAAAGUGUCAUGUAUAAGAGUUAAUGUCUAUCUUCAUUAUGGUUGGUUAAAAAAAUAAACAUUUAUUAGAACAAUG